Cyprinus carpio carpio is the source of this 2338-nucleotide long non-coding RNA. Lineage: Eukaryota; Metazoa; Chordata; Actinopteri; Cypriniformes; Cyprinidae. The record is from Ensembl.
AGGCGGAUGCUGACGCUGUUGUUAUGUGUCACGUUGCACACGAUGUCAGUAAAAAGUUAUCAUUGCUGUUCAGUCCUCACGACUUAUUUAGAAGGAGGCUUCAAAAUGCUGUUCCACAAGGUCCUCAACGUCUCCUGAAUACAUUGUGUCUGGGACAAUGUACUCCUCAUAAUCGACCCCCAGAAGCACGAUCACGCCCAUUCCGGAAGACACUCCGAUCACCUCCACCGUCUCCUCAAUGAGCCGCCUUUCUGAAACCUGUGUUUUUACAGUGUUUGGGCGGAGGUGGGUCAGCUCCACAGUGUCUCCAUUUAACACCUCGAUAAGAGCCUCAUCUCUCCACAGAGAAACCUCAACUGCUCUUGAGUUGCAGUUUAGCUUAAAGUCCAGGACGGGCACUUUACCAAAUUGCACCUGUGCCAUCCUCACCUCCUGCAACUACAAAUCACAUACCAGAGGUAACAUUACUGGCGUUCUGUUACAGUGCAGUACUCGAACAUGCCCCUACCAAAAAAGCAUGAAGGUUGCCCACAUAUCUUUCAUGCUAUAUUCUGCAGAUUUAUAAUAUCCCAUAAAGGAUAGUUCAACCCAAAUUGAAUAUUGUCAUAAUUAACUCACCCUCAGGUUGUUCCAAACCUGUAUGAUUUUCUUUGCUCUUCUAAAUCCGAAGGAAGGUGUUUGUAAGAAUGUUUGUAACCUGACAGUUCCGGGGCACCAUAUAUAUAUAAACUGCAGUUUGAUUGAUAUUACUUUUUUUUUCAUACUAUGGAAGUCAGUGGUGACCUAAAACUGCUUGAUUACAAACAUUCUUACAUAUAACAACUUUUGUGUUCAGCAGAACAAAGAAUUUUAUAAAUUAUGAUUACUAUUCCUUUAACGUGUGUUUGACUUUAAGCAGAUUAAGACUGGUGCAUAGUGCUCUACGACAAAGUGACAAGAGCAAUUUGUAAACAUUCAACAUAGUUUUUUUUUUUUAAGGUUUGUUAAAUUUGCAUUUGUUUAUGAGAAUGAAGUCACUGCACUGCAUUACGCAUGAGAUGCCUCUGUUAAAUGUACUUACUUCCUCUAUCUCUCCCAGGAGACUGACGUACCCAUCUUCUGAAGGGUCCACUUUGUCCACGGAGACCAGAGGGGAAUGUGGAACAAGGAUCUCUCUGGCCCUUCUCUCCUGAUCUUCAGUAAGACUCAGUUGGGAUGUUUUAAAUUUGCUUGUGGCUGAUUUUACAAAUAUACUUGGCUUUCCAUACUUGCUAGAUAUGGUGUGGUUUUUCACCACGUAGCUGGCCCCUUCUUCAAAUUCUGGGGUCUCACCUAUGGUGUACCAAAUGAAAAUUAAAUCAGUUCAAAUCAAGUAAUUAAAACUCAUUAAAAAAGUCAGUAUGUGGAUAAAACGUUUAGAGGGUUCAUGAACUGCAUGUUUAAAUGAUCUUCUAAAUUUAAAUACUGCAAUUAAAGGGACGUGUCUCCUUAAAGACUUCAGUGUAAAUGCCCACUGCUAUGAUUAACAUUUUUUCAUACAAAGUCUGUAUUACAUGUGGAACUAUUUUGAAAACUUCCUUUACAUUAGGAUCCUUUGAAAGGUAAUAUUAUUUUUUAAUCCAGUAAUCCUGUUUUCUCUCAUCUGUGAGUUCACACACCAUGUGAAGGGCCAAAGAGGCUUUGAAUAAGUUGAUGCAGUUUUUGUCAUCUCUGUUACAUCAUAAUCAUGAAGUAGAAAAGAAGUCAGAUUGGUAUCUUGUUCUCAAUAAAAGUUUUUCAUGACCCCUUUAAAUAAUUAGUGUAUACUUAAGUCAUAGUUUAAUAUAAUUUUAAGUGAUGUAUAAAUCUGUUCUAUUAUUAAUGAAGAGUAUUGUGCAGAACUUUGAGACAUGUAUUUUAAAACAUUUAUUUUGGCAUGUAUUGCAAUUAUAGUGAUUUAAUUAUGCAUAGGUAUUUUGCACAAUACUGUACUAAAUGUUGUUUUGUUGUUUUCAUCAAAUAUGUAAGUAUAUUCAAAAAUACUCCAUUUUUAGCAGCACAUUAUUGUUGCAUCACAAUCAAUUUAAAUUGUAAAGAAAUAGUCCAAAAAGUUUUCAAGGCAAUCAAAAAUGCUAAAGUUUCAGUGGCCUUGUCUGAUCUGUGUUGUAACAUUGAAUUGUUGUGUGUAAAUGAUGUACAGACAUGCACUGCUCAUUUAGAGCUGUUAAUUAUGACCAAAGUUUUACUUAUAUAUAUAUAUAUAUAGUAUAGUUUUUGAUAAAUGUCUGUUGAGGCCACAACAUUUGGCUUUUAUCCUAAGAUCUUAGUGACAAGCAGCAAUUAUAAUGGACUGUUAAAACUGCACUCUUUGGAGUUUUUC